This is a long non-coding RNA of Dendronephthya gigantea, 883 nucleotides long. RefSeq lists it as uncharacterized. The transcript is spliced from 3 exons. The record is from RefSeq and is a predicted model, not a curated record. Lineage: Eukaryota; Metazoa; Cnidaria; Anthozoa; Malacalcyonacea; Nephtheidae.
ACUAUAUAGAAGUAAAAAAAGUUCAUUUGUGCCGUGGAAUAGAGAAGACGUAUACUAUUAUAUUUCACAUCUCUGGUUAGUCGACUGUUAACAGGUGUGCUAAAUGGCUUUCAAAUUCUUGCUGGUUUUGUGUUUUCUGAUAGCAGAGAUGGGAUUGAUUGAGACCAAAUCUCCUCCAGCCCCUAUUGUCGAUUCUGCUACUGCCAGGUCAAAGGUUGUGAAAUAUUUAAGAGAUAACCAAUACACACUGAAAAUAAACAUCAGCGACGAUUUGUCUGAAUACUCUGGUGGACUAAAGGAAUAUCGUACCGCAUAUAUAUCCCGAAUGUUUGUGCAUCAUUCACUCACCGACGACGGACCAAUCUACUUCAGUAUCGCCUUUAGUGAAAAGGUCCUGCCAUCAUCGUCUGUUCAGGACUUCAGGGACUCCUUGAAGUAUGUCGCACUGGAUGAGCUUCCCAUGCCCGGCUUUCAAUAUCCACGCGGCUGGAAAAUUUAUCCACUUACACCAUUUUCAAGUUUCAAAGACGGAGUUACGAUCGUCUCUUACCAAAAUGGGAGGCUUCACUUCAAAGUGGAUACCAGUUUUUUUGCAGUCGAUGGCAUUAUGAAAGGUUUGAAUCUACCAGCGGAUGCUAGAGUCCCGAAGUACGCAUAUUUUGAAGUCCGAAAAGAUAUUCAUGGCUUGAUUGAUGUGGACAUGCCUCUUGUCUUUGCAGACUUUGCUCAAACAGUUGCGAAGUAGAAGAACGCAAAAGUGUUACGAAGUAGCACAUUAAGAAAUUCCGUUUCGUAAAACCGUUUAAGGAUUAGGGGACGUAUUUAGCUAUAGAACACGUGCAAUUAGACUAGAUGACAUAUUCCAUUGUUUCAUUAAAAUCGA